UCUAACGUAGCUUAGGGAAGAAAAGCACCACUUUGAAGAGGUGGGGACGACACCGUCUGUCCGUAGAA
RNAcentral lists this transfer RNA (68 nucleotides) under Saemundssonia lari. RNAcentral describes it as "tRNA-Phe". The record is from RNAcentral. Lineage: Eukaryota; Metazoa; Arthropoda; Insecta; Psocodea; Philopteridae.